CGGCCGUCGCCACCGCGCGCGCGCGCGCGCCCCCUCCUCCCCCUCCCCUUCCCCCCCGGGCUGACAGAGCAGAAGGGCUGCGCCCCCCUCCCCUCGCUCGCGCCGGGUCUCGCGCGCGGACACGCACCCCGGCUCUCCCAGAUUUCUGAGGGAAGAUGAAUUUAGCAGAGAUUUGUGAUAAUGCCAAAAAAGGAAGAGAAUAUGCACUCCUUGGGAAUUACGACUCUUCAAUGGUAUAUUACCAGGGUGUCAUCCAGCAGAUCCAGAGACAUUGUCAGUCGAUCAGAGAUCCAGCAAUUAAGGGGAAAUGGCAACAGGUCCGUCAAGAACUAGUUGAAGAAUAUGAGCAAGUUAAGAGCAUUGUCAACACUUUAGAGAGUUUUAAAAUGGACAGACCUGCAGAUAUCCCUGUGUCCUGUCAAGAUGAGCCUUUUAGAGAUCCUGCUGUUUGGCCCCCUCCUGUUCCUGCUGAACACAGGGCUCCACCUCAGAUAAAACGUCCCAACAGAGAAGUAAAACCUUUGAGGAAAGAAUCACCAGGACUGCAGCCACGUGGGCCAGCGGGCAGAGCACACCCAGCAUCAAAAAGUGAGAAGUCUACAAGUAGCCGUGAAAGGGAAUCUAGAGCUAGAGGAAGAGAUGACAAGGGAAAGAAAAUAACCCAGGAAGGUGCUGGUGAUGGGGACAUUCCAAAAUUUGAUGGAGCAGGUUACGACAAAGACUUGGUCGAAGCUCUUGAGAGGGACAUUGUGUCAAGGAAUCCAAGCAUUCAUUGGGAUGACAUAGCAGAUUUGGAAGAAGCCAAGAAAUUAUUAAGAGAAGCUGUCGUUCUUCCAAUGUGGAUGCCUGAUUUUUUCAAAGGGAUCAGAAGACCUUGGAAGGGUGUGCUGAUGGUUGGUCCUCCUGGCACUGGCAAAACAAUGUUAGCAAAAGCUGUUGCUACAGAAUGUGGAACCACAUUCUUCAAUGUCUCUUCCUCUACUCUGACAUCUAAAUACAGGGGAGAGUCUGAAAAGCUAGUCCGUCUCUUGUUUGAAAUGGCGAGAUUUUAUGCUCCAACAACAAUCUUCAUUGAUGAAAUAGAUUCCAUCUGCAGCCGCAGAGGCACCUCCGAUGAACAUGAGGCGAGUCGCAGAGUCAAGUCAGAGCUGCUUGUGCAAAUGGAUGGGGUGGGUGGUGCUCUGGAAAAUGAUGACCCUUCCAAAAUGGUUAUGGUAUUAGCAGCUACAAAUUUUCCCUGGGAUAUUGAUGAAGCUCUCCGAAGGAGGCUGGAGAAGAGGAUUUAUAUACCUUUGCCCACAGCAAAAGGCAGAGCAGAACUAUUAAAGAUUAAUCUUCGGGAAGUAGAACUGGAUCCUGAUAUCAGCCUUGAAGAAAUUGCUGAGAAAAUUGAAGGCUAUUCUGGUGCCGACAUCACUAAUGUUUGCAGCUUUGUUCAACCUAUUUAAAGAGUAAAGACGAGAAGAGUAUGAAAAACUAACACUACCAAGUAAAAACACCCCAUGAAGCCCAGAAAACCAUGGCAACACUGUAGUUUUACCAUGCAGCAUGAACCAACAAGAAGCAAAUGUCAGGGAAACCAGGUGAGAGUCCAUGAAAUUUCUACCGUCCAAACUUCUCCAGCUAAACCCUGCUGACAUUGGCCUUAUUACCUUCAAUGAACUGAGGCCAGACCACGGAGCAUAAGCAAGAAGUAUACCUUCUGGCUGUCAAAAGUGCCUGUCCCCGUGCUGCAGCCAGCUGCUGCCCAACCCUGUUCCCCUCCAGCUCUUCCCACCCUGCUGUGGCUUUUUGAAGCAGAUGCCACCAAGGCUCAAACACGUGGAGCACCUCGGAGGCAUGGGAGCAUGACGCUUCCCAUGGCUGGCAUUGCUGAGUGCUGCUGCAGCUCAGUGCACUGAUGACAGCCUGCAGAGGAGGUUGAUGACCACAGCUGUGUUUGGUACAGGCAGGGCUCUGUACAUUCCUGUUUGCUCCUGUUGGCCCCAGCUGACGGCCCAAGCGAGCCUGGCCAGGCGGAACGGGCCAGCUCCAGCAGCCAUUGCCUGACCAAAAAGCACCGUUCGCUUGGCUGAACAAGUUGCUCCACUUGCUUGGCUGGCUACCAACGCACAGGCAAGGCCGGGCGUAAGUACACUCGUUAUGUCAAAAGCUAAAGACUGUGAAGCAGAGUGGGGCUGUACUGUGCAGGGAAGCCCAGGCAGGUGGGAACUGUUCAGAUAACACGGGUUCCUUCCUAGGACGUCACCAUUAAUUGCAGGUAUCACCCUUCCCCUGCAGGUCUCACCCUGCCUCACUGCAGGCAUGCGGUCACGUACCCCGAAUCCCCCAGCCCAAGCCCCAUUGCACUAUAAACAAGGGCUUUGUUUUGAAUUGAUUAUUUUGUGCACCAGACCACAGCUAUCGUCCCUCUGUGCCCUUCGGGUGUGAAGUCUGGGCUUCCCCCUCCGUGUAGUGACCAGUCUCGACUAUCCUCAGGGAGGAAGGAAAGUUUUCCCCUCCCUCCUGCCUUCCCUGCGGCCACUCGCGUUGUCAUGGCAAUUCAGAUGCUCCCGCGCAGCAGGCGCUGGGCACACCUCCAGGUUUCGGUGAGUCUUUGCUGGACGUGUCAGCCAGGUGCUCCAGAGCCAAAUCUGCUCACCAGAUUUCUGUGGACCUCAUGCUUUCACCUGUGUUUCCAUGCCCAGAAGGAGGAAGGUGGGAAGCUGGAGGCAUGCUUGUCAGAUGAUUUUCCUUGCGAUCACUUUGUUUUUAGCUGCUGUGAUUGCAGGGCAGAUGAGCACCAAACCCUCCCAGGGCAGGGGCUGUUGCUCCUCUCCUGCCUCAGGCAUUGGUGUGAGAUGGAGAGCUGCCCAUCAAGCAGACCCAGGACCCCAUGCGUGGGUAUGGUACCUCAUGAGCUUGCUCCAUGCCUGGGCCUGGCAUGGGCGACACAUCCCACCUGCCCUUCCUGCCCGCUCCCACUGCACUUCGUUCCUCUGUCCUGGAUGGUCAAGGUGCAUUUCAGAGGGCGGACGUGUGGGUCUGUAGAGGGGGAGAGGUUUCCAAGUCACUCAUGGGAAUCAGCUGGUCUGAGAGAUCAAGGAAGGGAAAAGGAUAUAUGUGUUUGCAAGAUUUCACCCCAAAGGUGGUUUUCAUCCCCACAUCCCACAAACUUCCUUAUGGUACUGCCUUGAUGAACAGAUGGGUCAGAUGCAUGUGGUGGGGCUCUGGGCAGAACAUCUGGAUGCUGCUCUGCAGCUCCUGCUAUGAGAAAUAUUGCCGCUCUGUCCCACACGGUCGAGACUCCCAGUUUACAGCUGUGAAGUUUCUGGAUUUGCAGUUACCAAGGGAAAUUUCCUCUGCUCCCUCUGUCUCCUUUACCUCCUCUCCCACCUGCCCCAUGUAUCUUCCUCUCAUGCAGAAGAUGCGAGGCUGCACAGGAUGGUUACUGCAGAGUCACUGCGGUGACUGGUAUCGGUAUUGGAGGCUGUGGGUUACAGCUUCUGGACCUGCUCUGCUGUAAGUCUGUGUCUGCUGUUGCCCAGAGUAACCUGCUUCUUUCUCCCAGGCACCAACAGUCAAAUACGCACAGCUGGGAGGAAAAUGAUAGCCCCAAAUGAUAGCCCCAAAUGAUAGCCCACUGUUUAGGCAUGGGUCGCCAGAAGCCAUACGGUUUAAAUGCUAGAUGCCAGGAUGUUUUAUUUUUCCUUAUUCCACUUCAAUGUGCAUUUUAAUAUAAUAUUAAAUUUGUUGGCACCUGUCCACACAGUGGCAUGAAUAACUAAUGGAAUGACCUAUUCUUGAAUAACUCCCAUGGGGACUCACUAUUCCUAAAAAAAGGGGUUUAAUUCUGAAUAAAAAAGUUUUGGACUAAAAUCCCUUUUAUUCUGGAGCAAAGUACCUAUUCAGACAGCCAUCUUGGGGCAGUGUUUCCUGCAAUAGCUAUGCUGGUCUGUUUUUCCGUGAAGACACUGGGUCUGUGUGUAGGUUACUGAACAACGAUGCUGACACCACAAAACAUGCUGUUCUGGCAAGUUGGGCUGUGAAUGACAGUAACAUUAGUUGCUUGGGAGAUCAUGUCUCCUGCCUUGACUGGGGCUCUAAGCUUAAAGGAUGCCUGUCCUUAGCAGCUCUGGGAAAGGCGAAUGAUAGGCUCCUUCUGCCCCAGGAUGAGACAAGUGCCAUCUCUCUGGAAAUAUUGUGAGCGUCCAGACUCAAGGGAUUUUCAGCCCUGCAAACAGGUAUUACAUAUGCAAGGAGCUGCAGGAAAGUAACCUGCUUUAUAACCCGCAAGCUACCUGAUGUUAAGCAAGUUAUCUAGAGUAUACCCUGACUGUAGAGUAAAGCAGUUUUAUUGUUGCUGGAUAGUGCCUUUUUCUUAUACAAAAUGUUAGGGGUUUGUUGUGCAUUUUUUGAAUAGCAAUAACACUUCAUAAAGAGUAAACAGAUGACAGUUCUUUUCCUGUGUUAGCUUUGGCAUAGAUCAGUCUUCCUUGUAAAAUAACCUCUUAAAUUAAGCUAAUGAGGUUUCAAACUAGGCAGGAUAUCGUUGCACGGAGUGGAGGGAAAGGAAGAACAAGGUGUGAAUCACUGGUUGGAGAGGUGUGAUUCAGCGGUGGAGAGGGAUGCUUACCAAAGAGCUACGCGAACAGAGCAUAGUUAAAUGCAAAACAGUCAAGUACAAGUUUUCUCUGCCAAGAUAUCCUCGUAAUGCCCCUUCCGAAGCUCACGUGUGGGUGAUCAUGCCAAGGUAACUCGCGUGGAAAAGGGUUACAAAGGCUGUUGAUUCCGUGCUGUUUCGGGUCGGAGGUCCUAGAGAGGCACCAAAUCGAGGGGUGGAUUGGCCCAGAGGGAAGGGGACCUGUUGAACUGCCUUUGGGCAAAGGCCACGUGGGCACAGACCUUCACCUCCUGGGAAGGCAGGUGAGGAGGUCUGCGGCCCCACUGGGGUUUGCAGCCAAAACCCGACGCUGGCUGUCUGAGAGAUGCUCUGGGUCAGGGCUGCCACCUGUGAAACGGUCCGGACAAAGUGCCAAAGCCCUGCUACAGAGAAGGGCACAGUCAAAUGCUGCAGCAUCACUGGGGCCCGCGUGAUCCCCGCACUGGAGGCGAGGAUAUGGGCUGCCUGGGACUCAUAACGGCGAAGGAGAAUGGGGUGUGCACACUGCUACGGCUGACCUCAAAAGCCACCCUCCCAGAUCCCUUAAAAAGAUGGUCUUGCUGACACAGGCUGACUGAUUAAAGCCCCUGGUGAAGGGCAGAAAUGAAGUCAGCGUGUUUAUUCUCAGUCUCUCAUGCAAAGCAGGCGACAUGAUGGAGCAGCGUGAGCUCGGGGAGGUGCAGCUGCCUCUGUUUACUGCACUGGUGCCACAGGCCGGGGAAGGGAGGAGGAGGAAUCUGCCACACAUUUCUACUUUUAUUCUCUGCAAAGAUUCACACAAAUAUGACAUGCCAAACUUUGCACAUAUGUUUGUUUUGGGGAUUUUUCAGAACAUAAGACACGGUGGUUAUAGCUGUAUUAUGACUGCAACGUGCCCUGGGCUGUUCUCUGGCUCCGAGGCCAGCUGGGUUGGGGUGUCCCACGCCUCUGUGAUUAAACUCUCCAUCCCCCAGUGCAGGGUGGCUGCACUCAGGCUGUUAGCUAGGAAAGAUCCUUGGCCCAUGCUAACCCCCAUGAGUUGUUUGGAAGAGCCCUACCUGGCAUGGGCUAGCUUCAUUUGCUAAUAUAGACACAGCUAAUAAGUAUCACUACAGGACUGACAAGAUAUUUAAAGGAAUAUUCCAAAUUUCUGUCCACACUACGUGCAUUUUUCCUUGGUUUUGUGAAAUACAACAUCAUAAAACCAUGGUGAAUGCUAAUGUUUAUCUGCAGAAGAAAUGAAAAGGGAGGAGCUGUUUGGUGGAUUGACCCUGGGCACUGGAGAUGCUGAGAGGGGCUGCUGGAAGGAGCAGAGCUCAGACCUUACACUAAAUAAGGAGCUCUGAUGUGCCUUUAAACUGGGCAGAACUGGGCCCCAGCAGAGAGUCUGCAUUAUGUGACUGAGAACAGGCCUUCUCAGCAAGCCACCCUUCCCCUGUGAAGCACACGAGCCUGCAGGUAACCCUGAGCAGCUGAGUCAGCCUCAAAGCUGACUCCAAGCAAGCAGCGCCUGAACUCAAAGUCAUUGCACAUACUAGGUAAUUCAACACGCAGUUUUAUUCUUGGAAAACACUACGGACCGCUGUAUCCCCCCCUGCAUGUCGGUCCUGAGGACAGGAGAGGGACAGGUCCUGGGAGGGGCAGAGGCUCUGAGUGCUUUAAUUAGUUUGAGGCAAUUCAUUGCUCCAUCCUUUCACUGGGGAAUAGCAGCCAAAGGCUUUUCUUCUGGGUGGGAGGAAGGGAGAAGAGGGAGUCUCCAGGGAGUAAGCUACAGCGGCAAUAAACUUUACCUGUUACUCUGCCAUACCUCCCCGUUCAGACAGUCUUACUGUGUGUGUCUAACAGGGGCUGAGCUUGGGCUGCCUCUCUUCGAGGCAUUCCCACAGCAUCAGGCUGUGCCUCAUGUUUAUUUAAAAGAAAAACAGGCAGGCAGAAGAAGUGCUGAAGCAAAAACCCGCAGUGUGCAUAACAAAGCGCAGGAGUUGCUAUGUACAACGCACUGCCAAUUGCAUAGUCAAGUAAAUAGCCCCAAGGCGCUAGUGACUUGAACACUGCAUUUGCUUGUCUGAAAAAUGAUUCUAUUUAUUGAACAUUCAUUUUACACUUGAGAGCUAAAAACUUCCUUUUCCCACCUUCUGUUGGAGACGCACGCACCUCCGGCAUGUAACCGAGAGUAAGCUGUUUCUCCAGGGGAAAGCAGUUUAAUGACUCAUGGAAAUUCAUUCUCUGCUCAGCCUAUGGGCUAUGACGUUCAUGUGGAAACAGCUUGGUGUUUUAUGAAUAGAGCCCCUAUAAAAAUGUAAAGGUCUCUGACUUGGGGCUUUAUGGAAAUUGCAUGAACAGAACCUCAAGGACAGCCACGAAAAUAAAAGUUUUCAGAGUGUGUUUGUGUCAAACCCUAUCAGCACGUCGGAGUUCAGACGAGGUUUUGUUCACGCGUGUGCUGCAGUCGGGGGUUUCUUUACUGGCGUAUGGUUUGGUUUUGUGUUGGUUUGAGGAACCUAGGAGGAGCCUCUGAAAGGCUUGAGAGCUCCCCCUAACCUCAGGGAGAAGAUUAUAACGUUUCAGCUGAUCUCUGCGUGCUGCCCAAAGCGGUCACCACGGCUCACGCCUUCCCAGCUGGGGCAUGGAUCUGUUCUUCACGGCAUCGAGGACACUGCCGAAAAGCAUGUGGUCAGUUUUGAACCCAAAUUGCUGACUAGAUUUCAGGACUGCUUGGAAAAAAGCUGCUGAAGUUUGCUGUAGACGUCUUUCCUGCCUCCACGGAGCUGACGCGUGUCCGUGAGGGCUGCAGAGCUGCCUGCGGCCUCGCGCGAGGGGUGCGGAGGUGGGUGCAGGCUGGUGGCUUCCUCCCAGCGUGGCAGCCUGGCCCCGCGGCCACACUGCCAGCUUUCGACCCUCCUUGGGUCAGAGGAGACAGCCGUACUCAUGGCUGUGGGAUGGCAGCUCUGGGAAAUGGAGUGGCACGGCAGACCCCUAGGAAUGAGGCAUGUCUAGUCACCAAACAAAGAAAAAGGGUGUUUUCCCUGGGCCCAUCUGCUUGGCUAAGAAAGCCGUCUGCCGCCUGCGCCUCCUUUUGUUUAAACUUUUUUUAACUGUGUGCAAUACUCUGUAUGUGAGACGCCCCGACACAACAGUUCGGCAGAAGCCAGCCCAUGUUUCCUUCCCUGGAGCUGCGAUGCCUUGAGGCUACCUGAGAUGGGGACGUCUCGAGAUGCCACCGUGGCUGGCGGUCCCAGCACAUGGCACUGUCCCCAGCCCCGCGUCCUCACCUCCCCGCUGCCUCACGCUGCGGAGGGCUGACCUGCAGCUGUGCUGCCGCAGCAGAUGUCAGACCUUGCUGUGAACAAGGUUGGGCUAUUUUUAAAUUUUUGCUGGGCUGCUUUCAGGCGAUGCUGUUUCCCAGUGCAGGGCACAGCACGGUGGGGCUGUCUCUCUGUGGCUGGGAGGACACGGGGCCUGGGCUGGCUGGGAAGGGGGCUUCGGCACUAAUGUCCCUGAAAGCUUAGUCUUGUGAAGCCCCAUCCUGCGGUUUCUUGCCUUGUGCUAACCGAUGCAACCUCACUUUUAUUUUCUCUGAGGUUAAAGAACAAACUUUUUUUAAUUUUAGCUGUCAGGACCAGAACUAGGGAAAUGGCAGUGUGAUGCAGAAGGACGGCUCCCCCAUGAGUGUGGCAGGGUGACACCGCAUGCCUGUGGGAACCGGCUGUCACUCACAGCCAAGCACUAACCUCGUGCAAAAGGCCCGCAGGACCAUAGCUUACGGGUACAAACAUUCAUGCCUGGGGCCUGUUGCCCUAGGAAUUAGCCUGAGGCAAAGAAGGACUAUUUGGAUCCUGGAGCCAGCGUGUGGGAAAUGCUUGUGUCAACCUUUCCAGAGGGGUGCAGCUAAGCUGCAGGAGCUGGACGAUGCUGGGGCAGAUGGGGGCAUUUUGGGAAGGGUUGUGGUUCACUUUAUUGGUUACAGAGCUGUGCUGGACCCAGCUUUCCCUCUUACCUUCACUUCGCUGACUGAUAUCAUUUAAGGCAGCUGUUUUCCAUUGUACCGUGGCGUAUCCCCUUGCAAACGGGGAGAGAGGCCUCUGUGGCAACAGCUGUUUGCUAAAACAAGCCAGGGCCUGACUCAAGACCCUCGUCUCCGAGAGGGAGACCAGAGAAAUCCAACCCAGGCCAGGUGCACGCUCAGGUCCAAUAUAUAAGGAGAGGCAUUCAGAGGGCAGGUCUCAACCGGGGCACCUGGGAGAUGGCUCCGGCUCCUAGUCCAAGGAAGUCAUGUAGCUCCUAACUGCAUUUCUAAAUGAGUUGUGGGUAGGCACCAUUCCCACCUCCCUCUCCUUUAGUGGAAGGAAAAUGAGGCACAUGGAGGUAGGAGGGAGCCUUUGGACACCCUGGUGAGUUCCUUGGUCUGGAUGAUCAAUGCAUGGCACACCACAAAGUGCAUCUGCCUUGGGGCUUGGCUUGGCCAGAAAGAUGAGGUGUGGAGGCAGGAGUGCAGGCAAGCCUGUAACCAUGCCCCAGAGACUCCAGUUUUUAUGGUAUUUGCACAAACAUCCAUUUGCUUGUGCGACAAAACCUUCCAGAACAAGUGCCUACCUGAGUAAGCGCCCUUGGCACAGGGGAACGGCUGCCUGCACCAUCUCAAUGAGCAUGCUUCAGAGGGCCUCAGGAAACUUGGCCAUCACUGUCUUCCUAACAGGGGUAGCAUUUUCCUGAAAGCACUUCUAUGCGUGCCCAAUAGGUAGAGAGAUUGCUGCAUAGUGACUCUCUACAACUGUAGCUGGCAAAAGAGAGUGCCUCGCACAAACAGGGAUCAACAGGAGGGCUACCAACACCCUCCUAUUAACAGCACAACAUAAGGGCUUGUGCUGGAAUAGCAGCAUUAGAGAUCUGUACAGGGCUUGCUGUAACUGUGAAAUGAAAGUCCUCACUUUUCUGCGUUUUCCAAAUAUCGUGAGAUAUGUAGUGCUGCAGAAAUACAUGUCCUGGAUUUUAAGCAUCAUGUCGGUCUGUAUUAGGAAAAAUAGCAUUGCAUCUCCUGGGUGUCACAGGAGGUGAUGGAACGGUGUUGCAGCUUCAGUGUGCUUCCCGAGGCUGUGAUGCAUCUUGGCUUGCUCAUGGCCAAACUCUUCUGCCACGGCCAAAACCAGGAGCAUAUAUAUGUGACAUGCUUCUAAUUCCACUGACAUGCAUGACACCUACCCCAAAAUGAUCUGCUCUCCUGUUAUCUCUGGGACUGGUGGUUUUUCCUUCCCCCGUGUUUUCUUAUGAACAUGGUGGAGAAACAAUGCAAGAAACUGCAGUCACUUUUCUAUCCUAGCUGUGCAAAAUAGCACAGAGGUUGCCAAAUUAAUUGUCAUAGUUAAUUAUUUUUCUCAGUUUGUUCAUGCUUCAAGGGGCCUCUUCCCUGCUGACUUUUCAGAGUGCUGAGGUGUGGAAAAUUGGUGCAGUCUCCUUCAGUUUUUGCAAGCGCUGGGAGAGUUGGGAUGUGUGUUGCAGAUGAAAAUAUGAUAGUUGUGGUCUGUGCUUGCCAUCUGAUUUCUUCUAGAGUCCAAGCCUUCUGGGAAGUAUCUCAAAAUGCAGAUAACUUGUUCUGAAAGCUAGGAUUUAGAUUCUGCAACUGACUUUAGGAGAGAGAGACAGAAAACACCUGUGGCCAGAAGAUGGACUCUUGAGAUUGUGAACUGCUUUGGAGAAAUGGCAGACAGGUUCUGUGCUGGCCCUGGUCUGCAUGACGGCACUGCGGAUGAGGAGCAGGGGCAGAAGACAGCGUCUGCUAUCAUCUUCUGUAUUAUUUUCAUGAUCUCGGUGUGCGAAAGUAUCUGCCUUACCUUUGCAUGUAAUGUGUAAACAGCCGCCACUUGCCGACAAUGUUUUCUGUGUUAAGCAGGGUGGAGCUGCCCUCUACUGUUUCGAUUACGCACAACUGUCCACCCGUUUAUUAUUUAGAAAAUAAAGGGCCAGCAUUGAUACACCCCUCUGCAAUAACCGGGCUCCUUGGGAAUGAGUCAGUCUUCCUUAGAACUCCACAUAUACAUGUGGAAGUGUUCAAAAAUGGCAUUUCUACAGUCUGGCAGCUUCCCCAGGCUCAGUCAUCUGCUGGACCACAAAUGAAAAAAUAAAAUCAGAACUGGAAGCAUAGGGGCAUUUGCACUGCAUGGAGAAGGCGAGAAAAUGGAGACCAUGGUGCAGAUUCUGAGGUGCUCUCGUGCCGCUGGAUGCUAUUUAUGCUUUGGGGGUUUCCUGAUGUUUACAUGACAUCCCCAGCCAUUUCUGUUCCUGGCAGAGGACAUCUGAACCAUAGGUGGUUUAGUGGGAUCUAGAUCUGAAGUCCCUUGAAUAGAAUGAGAGAAAGUACAUUUAAAUACUAGUUUUUUAAACAAAUCUCCUGUUUUGUCACAAAGAAGAAUUUGUGGUUUCAUGCAGGUGCAAUCAGUGGUCAAUGAAUGCAUUUAAGUGAACAAAAGAGAAAGCAGAAGGUACGAAUUCCUACACCUAUUCUGCAUCACUUGUAUGGUUUUUGGCUUUGGAGUCUCAGUGCAGCAGAAAAACACCAAUAUGGGUAUGCAGUCAGUGGAGCCUCCAGCCUGCACAGAGGACAGCGCUGUUGACUUCUGUGCUCUCCGUUGGAAAUGGCUGUCUGAGUUUGCAGAACAAGGGGUCCUAGUAGCUCACACACAUCACUUGCAAGGUGGCAGUAGCUUUCCAGAACCUGGGAUUUUUCCCUAUGGCUCUGUAAAGAGAGGCACUGAAAGAAAAUAAAUGGAGAGGAUGGACUGAGAGAAGCAGAAAGCACUGA
Molecule: RNA transcript, 11417 nt
Organism: Dromaius novaehollandiae (emu)
Lineage: Eukaryota; Metazoa; Chordata; Aves; Casuariiformes; Dromaiidae
Gene: KATNAL1
Gene name: katanin catalytic subunit A1 like 1
Exons: 14
Source: RefSeq, a predicted model, not a curated record